RNAcentral lists this small nuclear RNA (104 nucleotides) under Phocoena sinus (vaquita). The record is from RNAcentral. Lineage: Eukaryota; Metazoa; Chordata; Mammalia; Artiodactyla; Phocoenidae. RNAcentral also lists the same sequence under 1 other name.
UUGCUCGCUUUGGCAGCACAUACACUAAAAUUGGAACGAUACAGAGAUUAGCAUGGUCCCUGUGCAAAGGUGACACACAAAUUCGUGAAGCGUUCCAUUUUUUU